GACGAACGCUGGCGGCGUGCUUAACACAUGCAAGUCGAACGGAAAGGCCCUGCUUUUGUGGGGUGCUCGAGUGGCGAACGGGUGAGUAACACGUGAGUAACCUGCCCUUGACUUUGGGAUAACUUCAGGAAACUGGGGCUAAUACCGGAUAGGAGCUCCUGCUGCAUGGUGGGGGUUGGAAAGUUUCGGCGGUUGGGGAUGGACUCGCGUCUUAUCAGCUUGUUGGUGGGGUAGUGGCUUACCAAGGCUUUGACGGGUAGCCGGCCUGAGAUGGUGACCGGCCACAUUGGGACUGAGAUACGGCCCAGACUCCUACGGGAGGCAGCAGUGGGGAAUAUUGCACAAUGGGCGGAAGCCUGAUGCAGCCACGCCGCGUGCGGGAUGACGUCCUGCGGGUUGUAAACCGCUUUCGCCUGUGACGAAGCGUGAGUGACGGUAAUGUGUAAAGAAGCACCGGCUAACUACGUG
RNAcentral lists this ribosomal RNA (468 nucleotides) under uncultured bacterium. Its description in RNAcentral is "partial 16S ribosomal RNA". It matches the Rfam family "Bacterial small subunit ribosomal RNA", at positions 28 to 507 of the family's 1533-position model. The record is from RNAcentral.